CCAAGGACAUGAAUUUGAUUUUUUUUUUUUGUGGGUCAGAAUAUUCCGGGUGUUAAACACUUAAUCACAACUAAUUAUUUUGCAAUUGGAAGGAUGGAAGAGGUACAAAGAAAAUCAAGAAAGAAAGGUAGAAGAGAGAGAAAGAGGAAGAGAAGGAGGAAAGAUAAAAAGAGAAAGAGAGAAGAUAGGGAGGGAGACAGGGA
Molecule: long non-coding RNA, 203 nt
Filed under: Homo sapiens (human)
Lineage: Eukaryota; Metazoa; Chordata; Mammalia; Primates; Hominidae
Description: non-protein coding lnc-GRIK2-4:1
Source: RNAcentral